RNAcentral lists this ribosomal RNA (236 nucleotides) under uncultured archaeon. RNAcentral's name for it is "partial 16S ribosomal RNA". It matches the Rfam family "Archaeal small subunit ribosomal RNA", at positions 23 to 246 of the family's 1478-position model. The record is from RNAcentral.
GCUACUGCUAUCAGAGUUCGAUUAAGCCAUGUUAGUCGAGGGAGCCUCUUCUUCGGAAGAGGCAACCGGCGGACGGCUCAGUAACACGCAGACAACUUACCCUUGGGACCGGGAUAACCCCUGGGAAACUGGGGCUAAUACCGGAUAGUGCAUCGAUUGCUGGAAUGCACGAUGUUCGAAAGCUGAGGCGCCCAAAGGAUAGGUCUGUGGCCGAUUAGGUUGUUGUUGAUGUAACG